CGGCGAGCGAACGGGGAGCAGCCCAGAGCCUGAAUCAGUGUGUGUGUUAGUGGAAGCGUCUGGAAAGGCGUGCGAUACAGGGUGACAGCCCCGUACACAAAAAUGCACAUACUGUGAGCUCGAUGAGUAGGGCGGGACACGUGGUAUCCUGUCUGAAUAUGGGGGGACCAUCCUCCAAGGCUAAAUACUCCUGACUGACCGAUAGUGAACCAGUACCGUGAGGGAAAGGCGAAAAGAACCCCGGCGAGGGGAGUGAAAAAGAACCUGAAACCGUGUACGUACAAGCAGUGGGAGCACGCUUAGGCGUGUGACUGCGUACCUUUUGUAUAAUGGGUCAGCGACUUAUAUUCUGUAGCAAGGUUAACCGAAUAGGGGAGCCGAAGGGAAACCGAGUCUUAACUGGGCGUUAAGUUGCAGGGUAUAGACCCGAAACCCGGUGAUCUAGCCAUGGGCAGGUUGAAGGUUGGGUAACACUAACUGGAGGACCGAACCGACUAAUGUUGAAAAAUUAGCGGAUGACUUGUGGCUGGGGGUGAAAGGCCAAUCAAACCGGGAGAUAGCUGGUUCUCCCCGAAAGCUAUUUAGGUAGCGCCUCGUGAAUUCAUCUCCGGGGGUAGAGCACUGUUUCGGCAAGGGGGUCAUCCCGACUUACCAACCCGAUGCAAACUGCGAAUACCGGAGAAUGUUAUCACGGGAGACACACGGCGGGUGCUAACGUCCGUCGUGAAGAGGGAAACAACCCAGACCGCCAGCUAAGGUCCCAAAGUCAUGGUUAAGUGGGAAACGAUGUGGGAAGGCCCAGACAGCCAGGAUGUUGGCUUAGAAGCAGCCAUCAUUUAAAGAAAGCGUAAUAGCUCACUGGUCGAGUCGGCCUGCGCGGAAGAUGUAACGGGGCUAAACCAUGCACCGAAGCUGCGGCAGCGACGCUUAUGCGUUGUUGGGUAGGGGAGCGUUCUGUAAGCCUGUGAAGGUGUGCUGUGAGGUAUGCUGGAGGUAUCAGAAGUGCGAAUGCUGACAUAAGUAACGAUAAAGCGGGUGAAAAGCCCGCUCGCCGGAAGACCAAGGGUUCCUGUCCAACGUUAAUCGGGGCAGGGUGAGUCGACCCCUAAGGCGAGGCCGAAAGGCGUAGUCGAUGGGAAACAGGUUAAUAUUCCUGUACUUGGUGUUACUGCGAAGGGGGGACGGAGAAGGCUAUGUUGGCCGGGCGACGGUUGUCCCGGUUUAAGCGUGUAGGCUGGUUUUCCAGGCAAAUCCGGAAAAUCAAGGCCGAGGCGUGAUGACGAGGCACUACGGUGCUGA
Molecule: ribosomal RNA, 1299 nt
Filed under: Shigella flexneri
Lineage: Bacteria; Pseudomonadati; Pseudomonadota; Gammaproteobacteria; Enterobacterales; Enterobacteriaceae
Description: partial 23S ribosomal RNA
Rfam family: Bacterial large subunit ribosomal RNA
Source: RNAcentral